AGCUCAGUGAUUUCAGUCCAAUACUUUUGUCAUAUACGCUAUUCUGAAUAUGUUGUAAAAUAAACUUAUGAGAGCU
Molecule: non-coding RNA, 76 nt
Organism: Triticum aestivum (bread wheat)
Lineage: Eukaryota; Viridiplantae; Streptophyta; Magnoliopsida; Poales; Poaceae
Source: Rfam